This is an RNA transcript of Scylla paramamosain (green mud crab), 2068 nucleotides long. RefSeq lists it as uncharacterized. Lineage: Eukaryota; Metazoa; Arthropoda; Malacostraca; Decapoda; Portunidae. The transcript has 5 exons. The record is from RefSeq and is a predicted model, not a curated record.
AUUUUUUUUUUGUGUGUGUGUGUUUAUACAACCAAUAAAAACUAGUUUCUCAUUGUUUCUGAUACUUAUAUAGCUACGUAUGGUCACCUUCAUAAACAAAUAGUAGGAGUGACGCCGCUCUAUUUUCUAUUUUUCACCUGGGAAAGCCAUAAUUAAUUUUUUCGACAUAGGGUAGAAGUGACACAAGCUCUAAGUUCCAGGACAAGGAAGGGGAACGAUGCAUGUCAAUGGAAUGCAAUUCCGAACAAUACACAAUGCCAACACUCCAUGUAUAAACGCUUGGGUCCCCUGUGUUGUUGCUAACUUGCCAGACAAUAGACUCUGCUGUCGGGUGAAGGUAUCUAUACACACCUACGUGUCAACAGGGAUUCCAUCUUGCUUGCGUUUGUCAGACAUGGUGGACGUGAACCUUUGUUGCGAUCUGAAUUUCAUCCAACCUUCACAGAAAUUUCAAAACGUGGAAACGCGGAAUGACUUCCUUUGCAGCCACAGACUAAUCAGAUGCACAGUUGAGUGUCCCAAGUGUACCAGUGACUUUCUUUUUAAUAAACAAUCGUUCUUAUUUUCCGCUACACUGAGAAACAUUGCGGGGAACUUGGCCGUGUCUGAAAAAAUCUGUUGAAAUACACGAGGCCAAGUUUGGGAAAGGAAAAUAUAACCGUGGCCGGCUGUUGCAGGGAACGUGGGCUGCAGGUGGAGUGGAACGUGACUCAAAACGCUUCAACAACUAAAUCAUCAUCAUAACAAUCCAAAGCACGUGAUAGUUUCCUCCCGCCUCUGCUCAGAGCCCUGAGUUGCCGGGACGGAGGUGUGGUGCCCCUGACGGCCGUGUGGAGCAAGGUGGCUCACCGUUCACCACCUUCCCCCGGCAAUGGGUGAAGGACACCGGUUCUGUCAGCUGACACCCGGAUGCGGAGAGGGGAUGAGGAGGAAAAUUAAAUAAAUUAAACAAAUAAAUAAAUGAAUAAAUAAUAAAUAGACAAAACAAAACUGCAUAUUAUGAUAAUAGCUAACAGUCGGUCUAGGAUCUGCCCCUUGUCGAAUAACUAACACACUCCCCGAGGAUAUUACAUUGUCAAAAAGCAAGACGGUUUGCCCCCCAACUUGUCUCCUACUAUAUUUCCUUUCUCACUAUAAACCUCCACUCUUCCCUUCCCACCCACUUUACCUCUUCAUAUUUCACCCAACUUUUCUAUCCCUCCAAAAUCGCAAAAAACGCAAAACGCUUCUUGCUGGUCCCUGUAGAGCGUCGGGAUCAACAGACCCCUCUUUGUGUUGUUCAAGAACACACUGAGCGCCCCGAGCCCACCACCCACACACUCACUGCUGGCGUGGCUACGACGGUCUGCAAGGGCACGGCUUCACGCAUUUCACCGUCAAGCAUUCCCUCUUCUUGUUCACCCCUCCUCUACUUGUUGACCCCGACACUGGUGCCCACAUCCAGAACAUGGAGAGGGAGCGGCGCGAGGAAGGCGUGCACGUUCCCCGCAACAGAGGGCAGCAGCAGAAGUUUGUUUCGGGGAAGCGUUCUUUAACAGGGCACUUCCAGAGUCUGGGGAACGCUUCCACGCCUUGCUUCACGCUGGAACAAUGUACUCCUUCAAUAAAGAAUUGUUCGUGAGGAGUGGCGGGCGUCUUGUGUUUCUGGAAACUGUGACCACCGCCGUCGUCGCCGCCCGGGGAGAUCACGACAAAGAGGCAAAACAGGCGUCUGCUUAUCACCACGACAAGGAAGAAGCUAUGGACUCGCAUUACUUCAAACCAGUUUUCCUUUGUGACGUGUGGAGGCGCUGGGUUCAUGUGUGUGGCCGUGGAGCGCCUGCAGAGAGGGAUGGAGGGUGACCACCUUGCCACGAGUGAGUUUGUCAGUUGAAGGAAGACGAACGGGUACUGUCAUUCUCUGGACCACGCUGCCUCCCACUUGCCGUACGGAGGAAUGAUGUGAAGAGGACGGCAUGAACACUGACCAAGACAGCGCGACGAAGAGGAAGAAGGGACGACUAGCGGCAGUGAGACGAGAAGGGUUGGACAUCAAUAAAACAGACGAAGAAGGAAGACGAAGAAGGAA